Molecule: ribosomal RNA, 512 nt
Filed under: uncultured bacterium
Lineage: Bacteria
Description: bacterial SSU rRNA
Rfam family: Bacterial small subunit ribosomal RNA
Source: RNAcentral
AUACAUGCAAGUCGAACGGCAGCGGGUGUAGCAAUACAUGCCGGCGAGUGGCGCACGGGUGCGUAACGCGUAUGCAACCUACCCAUAACUGGGGGAUAGCCCGGAGAAAUUCGGAUUAAUACCCCAUAAUAUAUCGGAUUGGCAUCUUUCUGAUAUUAAAGCUCAGGCGGUUAUGGAUGGGCAUGCGUGACAUUAGUUUGUUGGUGAGGUAACGGCUCACCAAGACUACGAUGUCUAGGGGUUCUGAGAGGAUGAUCCCCCACACUGGUACUGAGACACGGACCAGACUCCUACGGGAGGCAGCAGUAAGGAAUAUUGGGCAAUGGAGGCAACUCUGACCCAGCCAUGCCGCGUGAAGGAUGAAGGCCCUAUGGGUUGUAAACUUCUUUUGUAUGGGAAUAAACGCAGUUACGUGUAACUGUUUGAAUGUACCAUAAGAAUAAGCACCGGCUAACUCCGUGCCAGCAGCCGCGGUAAUACGGAGGGUGCAAGCGUUAUCCGGAUUAUGGGUU